Molecule: ribosomal RNA, 1489 nt
Filed under: Enterobacter hormaechei subsp. xiangfangensis
Lineage: Bacteria; Pseudomonadati; Pseudomonadota; Gammaproteobacteria; Enterobacterales; Enterobacteriaceae
Description: partial 23S ribosomal RNA
Rfam family: Bacterial large subunit ribosomal RNA
Source: RNAcentral
GGGUUGUGAGGUUAAGCGACUAAGCGUACACGGUGGAUGCCCUGGCAGUCAGAGGCGAUGAAGGACGUGCUAAUCUGCGAAAAGCGCCGGCGAGGUGAUAUGAACCUUUGACCCGGCGAUGUCCGAAUGGGGAAACCCAGUGUGUUCCGACACACUAUCGUUAACUGAAUACAUAGGUUAACGAGGCGAACCGGGGGAACUGAAACAUCUAAGUACCCCGAGGAAAAGAAAUCAACCGAGAUUCCCCCAGUAGCGGCGAGCGAACGGGGAGCAGCCCGGAGUCUGAAUCAGCUUGUGUGUUAGUGGAACGGUCUGGAAAGUCCGACGGUACAGGGUGAUAGUCCCGUACACGAAAACACACUUGCUGUGAACUCGAAGAGUAGGGCGGGACACGUGGUAUCCUGUCUGAAUAUGGGGGGACCAUCCUCCAAGGCUAAAUACUCCUGACUGACCGAUAGUGAACCAGUACCGUGAGGGAAAGGCGAAAAGAACCCCGGCGAGGGGAGUGAAAAAGAACCUGAAACCGUGUACGUACAAGCAGUGGGAGCCUCUUUAUGGGGUGACUGCGUACCUUUUGUAUAAUGGGUCAGCGACUUAUAUUCUGUAGCAAGGUUAACCGUAUAGGGGAGCCGAAGGGAAACCGAGUCUUAACUGGGCGUUAAGUUGCAGGGUAUAGACCCGAAACCCGGUGAUCUAGCCAUGGGCAGGUUGAAGGUUGGGUAACACUAACUGGAGGACCGAACCGACUAAUGUUGAAAAAUUAGCGGAUGACCUGUGGCUGGGGGUGAAAGGCCAAUCAAACCGGGAGAUAGCUGGUUCUCCCCGAAAGCUAUUUAGGUAGCGCCUCGUGAACUCAUCUUCGGGGGUAGAGCACUGUUUCGGCUAGGGGGCCAUCCCGGCUUACCAACCCGAUGCAAACUACGAAUACCGAAGAAUGUUAUCACGGGAGACACACGGCGGGUGCUAACGUCCGUCGUGAAGAGGGAAACAACCCAGACCGCCAGCUAAGGUCCCAAAGUCAUGGUUAAGUGGGAAACGAUGUGGGAAGGCACAGACAGCCAGGAUGUUGGCUUAGAAGCAGCCAUCAUUUAAAGAAAGCGUAAUAGCUCACUGGUCGAGUCGGCCUGCGCGGAAGAUGUAACGGGGCUAAACCAUGCACCGAAGCUGCGGCAGCGACACUAUGUGUUGUUGGGUAGGGGAGCGUUCUGUAAGCCGUUGAAGGUGUGCUGUGAGGCAUGCUGGAGGUAUCAGAAGUGCGAAUGCUGACAUAAGUAACGAUAAAGCGGGUGAAAAGCCCGCUCGCCGGAAGACCAAGGGUUCCUGUCCAACGUUAAUCGGGGCAGGGUGAGUCGACCCCUAAGGCGAGGCCGAAAGGCGUAGUCGAUGGGAAACAGGUUAAUAUUCCUGUACUUGGUGUUACUGCGAAGGGGGGACGGAGAAGGCUAUGUCAGCCGGGCGACGGUUGUCCCGGUUUAAGCAUGUAGGCGGA